This 464-nucleotide ribosomal RNA is filed under the name uncultured bacterium. Its description in RNAcentral is "partial 16S ribosomal RNA". It matches the Rfam family "Bacterial small subunit ribosomal RNA", at positions 28 to 506 of the family's 1533-position model. The record is from RNAcentral.
GACGAACGCUGGCGGCGUGCUUAACACAUGCAAGUCGAACGGAAAGGCCCUGCUUGCUGGGUACUCGAGUGGCGAACGGGUGAGUAACACGUGGGUGAUCUGCCCUGCACUUCGGGAUAAGCCUGGGAAACUGGGUCUAAUACCGGAUAGGAGCCAUUCUUAGUGUGAUGGUUGGAAAGUUUUUUCGGUGUAGGAUGAGCUCGCGGCCUAUCAGCUUGUUGGUGGGGUAAUGGCCUACCAAGGCGGCGACGGGUAGCCGGCCUGAGGGGGUGGACGGCCACAUUGGGACUGAGAUAGGGCCCAGCCUCCUACGGGGGGCAGGAGGGGGGAAUAUGUCAGAAGGGGCGCAGGCCUGAUGCAGCGACGCCGGGAGGGGGGUAGCGGCCUUGGGGUGGUAAACCGCUUGCGCGAGGGGGAGAGCUUUUGGUAGGGUGACCAGUAUAAGAAGCGAGGAUAAACUCCGG